RNAcentral lists this unclassified non-coding RNA (378 nucleotides) under plant metagenome. RNAcentral's name for it is "partial contains 5.8S ribosomal RNA, internal transcribed spacer 2, and large subunit ribosomal RNA". The stretch from base 1 to 105 matches the Rfam family "5.8S ribosomal RNA", at positions 50 to 154 of the family's 154-position model. The record is from RNAcentral.
GAAAUGCGAUAAGUAAUGUGAAUUGCAGAAUUCAGUGAAUCAUCGAAUCUUUGAACGCACCUUGCGCUCCUUGGUAUUCCUUGGAGCAUGCCUGUUUGAGUAUCAUGAAAUCUUCAAAGUAAAUCUUUUGUUAAUUCAAUUGGUUUCUACUUUGGUAUUGGAGGUCUUUGCAGCUUCACACCUGCUCCUCUUUGUUCAUUAGCUGGAUCUCAGUGUUAUGCUUGGUUCCACUCGGCGUGAUAAGUUAUCUAUCGCUGAGGACACUGUAAAAGGUGGCCAAGGUAAAUGCAGAUGAACCGCUUCUAAUAGUCCAUUGACUUGGACAAUACUUUUAUGAUCUGAUCUCAAAUCAGGUAUGACUACCCGCUGAACUUAAGC